AGCAUAUCAAUAAGCGGAGGAAAAGAAACCAACAGGGAUUGCCUCAGUAACGGCGAGUGAAGCGGCAAGAGCUCAAAUUUGAAAUCUGGCCCCUCUGGGGUCCGAGUUGUAAUUUGCAGAGGAUGCUUCGGGUGCGGUCCCCGUCUAAGUGCCCUGGAACGGGCCGUCAUAGAGGGUGAGAAUCCCGUCUGGGAUGGGCGGCCGCGCCCGUGUGAAGCUCCUUCGACGAGUCGAGUUGUUUGGGAAUGCAGCUCUAAGCGGGUGGUAAAUUUCAUCUAAAGCUAAAUACUGGCCGGAGACCGAUAGCGCACAAGUAGAGUGAUCGAAAGAUGAAAAGCACUUUGAAAAGAGAGUUAAAUAGCACGUGAAAUUGUUGAAAGGGAAGCGUUGUCCACCAGACUCGCCCGGGGGGGCUCAGCCGGCACGUGUGCCGGUGUACUCCUCUCCGGGCGGGCCAGCAUCGGUUUGGGCGGCUGGUGAAAGGCCCCGGGAAUGUACCACCCUCCGGGGUGUCUUAUAGCCCGGGGUGCCAUGCAGCCAGCCUGGACCGAGGCCCGCGCUUCGGCGAGGAUGCUGGCGUAAUGGUGGUCAACGGCCCGUCUUGAAACACGGACCAAGGAGUCUAACAUCUAUGCGAGUGUUCGGGUGUCAAACCCGUCCGCGCAGUGAAAGCGAACGGAGGUGGGAGCCUUUCGGGGCGCACCAUCGACCGAUCCUGAUGUCUUCGGAUGGAUUUGAGUAAGAGCAUAGCUGUUGGGACCCGAAAGAUGGUGAACUAUGCCUGAAUAGGGCGAAGCCAGAGGAAACUCUGGUGGAGGCUCGCAGCGGUUCUGACGUGCAAAUCGAUCGUCAAAUUUGGGUAUAGGGCGAAAGACUAAUCGAACCAUCUGGUAGCUGGUUCUGCGAU
RNAcentral lists this ribosomal RNA (907 nucleotides) under Talaromyces aculeatus. RNAcentral's name for it is "LSU rRNA". It matches the Rfam family "Eukaryotic large subunit ribosomal RNA", at positions 37 to 965 of the family's 3401-position model. The record is from RNAcentral. Lineage: Eukaryota; Fungi; Ascomycota; Eurotiomycetes; Eurotiales; Trichocomaceae.